AUUGAACGCUGGCGGCAGGCCUAACACAUGCAAGUCGAACGGAGUGGCGGACGGGUGAGUAAUGCCUAGGAAUCUGCCUGGUAGUGGGGGAUAACGUCCGUAAACGGGCGCUAAUACCGCAUACUGUCAGCUGAGCUUAGGGCGGUUUAGCUAGGUGGUGGGGUAAAGGCCUACCAAGGCGAAGAUCCGUAACUGGUCUGAGAGGAUGAUCAGUCACACUGGAACUGAGACACGGUCCAGACUCCUACGGGAGGCAGCAGUGGGGAAUAUUGGGCAAUGGGCGAAAGCCUGAUCCAGCCAUGCCGCGUGAGUGAAGAAGGUCUUCGGAUUGUAAAGCACUUUAAGUUGGGAGGCGGUACCUACAGAAUAAGCACCGGCUAACUCCGUGCCAGCAGCCGCGGUAAUAC
This 407-nucleotide ribosomal RNA is filed under the name uncultured bacterium. RNAcentral describes it as "partial 16S ribosomal RNA". It matches the Rfam family "Bacterial small subunit ribosomal RNA", at positions 30 to 526 of the family's 1533-position model. The record is from RNAcentral.